AGAAGGGCUUCAGGACUCGGAUUACCCCCAUGAAAUCUCUCCCUGUCCCAAAGCACGUCCUGCGCGCUGGCUGAGGCAGGAGAAGUGUUCCAGUCUCUAUUGAAACCUGCGACUUCCACCACCCCUUUGGUGGCUGGGAAUGGCGCCCAGACAUGAAAUAACGAACUGAAACCCCUCCACGCGUUGACCAAAGAAAACAAGCUGUCAAACAGAAAUAUCCCCUCGCUCCUUUCCGAGGCGGACCCAAUCUCGUUCCCAUCUGCAGGCUGUGCGGCGCUGGGAAGGCAGCAUGAGGAACUCAGCAUGAAAUCGUCAGCGACGGCGUGCGGUGCUGUUUGUGCAGCAUAAAUCAGUCUGGGGAAUGAAGAGCCCCAUCUUCUUUCUUGCAGAAUUAAAAAAGAGGGGCAUCAAUACUAUGGAUAUUUCAAGUCUCCAGAGAGCUCUGCUUCGAAGGAAAGAGACAGCAGAGCGCCUGCAGCAGAACCAAAGCUUCAGCUCACUGAAUUCUCUGCUUUUUCCUCCCACUUCUACAAAACCACCCUUCAGACCACCAUUGCUCCAGCCAUGGAAGCAGUGUAGUGAAGGCCCAUGAGUCCAUGUGGGAGCUCAGGCAGGGAGGAGGAGGAGGAGACCCAAGUGGCUGUUUUCUCAGUGCUGAGGAUGAUGUGCCCUGCUGCCAUGUGCCAACACCUGCACUGGGCUCCUCGGUCUUCCAUGGGGGUCUCAGCACUGUGAAUCACCACAGCCAUCCCUGCACCACAUCCUCCAGACAGAGCCACGCUGCAGCUCAGGGCAUUCCAUGAAGAAAUUGCUUUCUCAUGACUAAAUGUCAGCAUAGAGAAUGAAUGAAGAAAGACCACAAAUUUACUUAAAAUCUGCAACCGACUCCUCAGCGCAGAGGAAAGACUGGCAUCAGUGUCAUGUCCUGAAGCAGUGUCAUGUCCUGAAGCAGAUGCAGGAAGAACAAUUACUUGUGUUCACAGUAUCCUUAAGGUUGGAAAAGACCACCAGCAUCAUCUAACCCAACCAAGGGGCAGUCUGCUCAGACACAUCUCUUGUCUAAGAGCUUCCAACUUAGUGCAGUUUCCUUAUCCUCGUGCCUAAGGGACAGCACCAGGGACACCAAGGCACACAGUCCUUGUAGGCAUGGCUGGCUGCCAGCCACCCUUGUUCUCUGGUUAAUAGAGGAGCACAUGGAACCGUUGUAGGUAACAUGACCACUGCACGAUCCCGUCAUAGCCAGAAAUGUUUCAGCUGCAUCACUGCUAUAUAUUUUCUUUCCUGCAGCAUCUUAUUUGCCCUUGGUUGUAAGAGGACUGAGCUGAUGUUAGCAUUGUUUUCAGUUCUUCAGCAAAAAUAUUGGUGUUUUUUCUUAAGAAAAAGGCAUGAGCGGAUGAUGUAGUUUUGACUGAUCUGAUAAUAAGUAUAGGAGAAAGCACUCGGUGUGGUUGCAUUGCCCUUUUGUCCUGGGCUGCAGAUGGUCAGUGAAGCUGUGCUCACCCCUCCCAGGUGCUAACACUCAGCCUCUGCUGGGCAGAUGAAGCACAGCUGGGUAAUGAGCAGGUCCUGAUGGGCAGUGUUUGUUGGCCUGUGAACCUACCUUGCCUAUUUAGGGACCUGACCCAAACCAGGGAGCUCAGAAACGUGGUGCUCUCAGCUGUAGCCAUUCCUCUUCUUUAAAUUCAGUAGGUGUGCCUUUGCCACCAGCAGCAUCCUUGGAUUCCAGGCACCAUUCACAUCCUGCUGUUUGGGAAAUGGUCAUUGCCACCAGUCUGGGAAGAAUGUAUUUCUGCCCUUCUGAUAACCCACCAGAGGUCCCCUGAGGGCUGGGAUUCACGUUGCUUUCUGCCCUGAGGCUGUAAGGUAAGAGAUGCAGCGGUGUUCAUUGUAAGUGAGAACCCUUUGCUUUGAAUGGGGAGAUUAACAACAAAACUCUCUGAACUUCCUUCUCCUUCGGUUAUGUUGCAGAAAAAAUUAACUUUGUUUAAGUUGGGAACUGGAGCAGUUCUUUAUGGCCACUGAUUCCUUUUUUCCUCCUCCUGGUCUCAGUAACAAGGGCCAGAGUAGUGGACCAUGCUGGACACAGCUAUUUUCUUCCUGAUGCUAAUUGCAGCCCUUCCUGGGGAGGAGCAAGGCAGCUGAUUUUUGGAUAAACUGAAGGCAAAAAGAAUUUCUGCCUGGGCAAAGCAGAGCAGAGAACAAAGGAGUGGGAAUAGUCAGGAGUGCUGGCUGUGGGGCUCUGCAGGGUGGGGAAGGACAUGCAUAGGCCUAGGGGGAAACCAAGGAGAAACAUAAGGAGGCAGAAUGGAUUAUUUGCUAACAGACAGAGCCAGGGUGCUGCUAAAUACCCAGACCCUCACUGUUUCACCCAGGGCAGGGGUGGCAGUGGGGCUGGGCGUGCUGUAGGGUAGUUUGGGAUGGUCCCAGGUUGGUGCUGGGUGUGCUGAGAGUCUCCUGAUGCUCUGUGAGGCUGGGGAGAAGCAAGAAGGAGCACGAGCAAAUGUGUUUCCACUUAGCUGCUCUAAGGAGCCAAAUGAUGUAACUGCUCGAAGCCCCGCACUAUGUUGGCAGGAGGAGUCCAGUGACAGCUCCAACUGUAAGUUCCUGAGCUAAUGAGCAGAAAAGUUGAAUAAAACUUAAAAAAAAAAAAAAAAAAAAAGCCUAUUUAUUUGGCUUAACAUAGCGAUCCUUCCCAGGACUGUUCCUUCAGCUGUUCCUCUGCUCAGAUCACAAAUCCAGACCCAAAAGAUGCUGGCUCCUCUCCUAUGGGUCUAAUGGGGCAGAGCCAAGGGGUCAGUGUCCGUUGGGAGCAAUGCUUCUGUGCAGCGUUGGGUGCUUUGCUUGGUGCUGAACCACAUCCCUGCUCCAGGAGAAGCGCUGUGCUAUCCUUUCCUCCAGCCCUUAUGGAGUUAACCACAACUAUUAUUAUUAAGGGUGGGUUUUUUUCUCCCUCUUUCUCUCUCUCUCUCUGUGUUACCAGCAAAGAAUGUUUUACUACAGCUCUCCACACAGCCACCAGCCUCCAAAUGGACCACGUUACAAAACAGCAGUUUGGUGAUUUCCUUGGCUCUGUGUUGCUUGCCACUGGACCAGCUGGCACUGGACGAAAGAGAGCGGCUGCACAUCUUCCUGCUCCUGGUGGUUGGGACUGUUAAAAGUCAGCCCUGUGCCACAGGUUGCCCCAGCUCUUCAGGUGAUAACCUGCUUCAGCAGCAGCUGUGCACAGAAUUUACUGGGCUGCAGCUGGGAAUCUUUCUCUUUGAUCCAUCUCUGCUAUUAAACAGCUUGUGAUAACGCCACUGAGCUCACAUCGAGGAGGGGAAGCCGAGCAACCUCAAUAUUGGAGCUGAGCAGCAGUGGGGUGCCCAUCUUAAAGCUGCAUCACCUCACUGUCUUCAAAAGCAAAGGAGCUCCUUUUAUAGCAGCGAGCUGCUCUCCAGGAAUGAUUAAAGUCUCGUAAACGAGCACCUUCCUCAUCACAGAGCUGUCUGCUGACGGGGUGCCAAGUACAACAAGCCCAAUCCAAAGCAUCAUCCCCUCCAUGGGGCUAAUUGUUGUUGCCUUGUCUCUUGAACAAGAAGAGUGGUAAGGGAAAGCAGAGCCUGGAGACACACGCACAUCCCUGUACAGAAAUAACCCCUGAAAUAGAACUGACAAGCAAUUGAGGAGUCGGCCUGUGGGCUGCAGACAAAGCACAGAGCAAAGGAGAUAACCGGCAGUGAGCACUGGGAAAUAAUGCCCUAAAUUCCCUCUGAGCCCAUUCAUCACCGUGGCUUCGGCGAUCAUCUCAGCAACAAAUUCCCCUAUCAUCCAACUGAAAUUCGAUGUUAAUGACCUGUCUGUUAUUUCAGGGGGAGAUUGUCUGGAACCGGUGGGUAAUUGGUAGGAAAAAUCGCCGGGUACAGCAAAGAGCUGAUGCUACUGGAGUCGUUACACCACGAGAGAGGGAGAUUAGGGAGCUCUGCUUACCACAAGGGGCUUAUUCAUCCUGAAUAAAUGCAUUAGCUGCCCAGAGCUGUCCUCUUAUGCCCUUGUUCCUGUCUGGUGGCAUCUCCCCACCACAGCUUUUCCCAGCAAACAGCAGAGAUGCAGCCCAGAAGAAGCUGCUAGAAUCAUAGAACACCCAGAGCUGGAAGGGACCCAUAAGGAUCAUCGAGUCCAACUGCUGCUGUUGAGACGAUCACAGUAAGGAAUAACCUGCUCUCUCCAAGCUCACACUGAUGUAUGCGUUUAUUCUGGAGUUCUCUCAGGAAAGACCAUAAUUACUCUAAUUUCUUAAUUACCGAAAUUAUUCAGAAUGACUCUGCAAACACCUCUGCCCUGCAACGUUUUGCACGAGCAGCCUCCCAGAUUGCAGCAGCGUUAGGAUUUGGGUUUGUUCCUCUGCUGGAAGGAUUUGCUGCGUUCAUUGCCAUUUCUCCUUGCCAUCAUGUUAGCGGGGCAGCCUGCAGCCCUCACCAAAAAUAGGAUAACUGGAGAGCAUCAGGGGAGAGCUAGAAGCAAGUCCAGAGGUAAAGCCUUGGCUCUGUUGCAAAGGAUAGCUUUGCUGGGACUUGAUGUCUGUGCUUUUUCUCAACAGUUUCUCAUUCCCAUCUUGCUAACGGGACCAGCACCAGUCAUGUUUCGGUGAGCACACCUGCUUUAUAAAUUAGCUCCCAGGAGUAUUUGCAAAAACAGAGCUGAACUGCAUGGCCACGGGACUGGGUUUGCUGCAGAAAUACCAGCACGUAUUCAUAAUAAAGCAGCUGCACGCUUUGCCCAGCUCUGUCUGUAACUUCCCGUCAUGUCCUGUACCUUUCUGGGCAGAAAGAAUGGGUGGUAGUGGUGGGAAAAUUGCAAAAUCCUCCUUGGCUAGAUGAAGCAAUUAUUUUUGAUGCAGAUGGGGCUGCUUUUAACCCUACGUAUUCCAAACAUCUCUGUAUAACCCUAUGGGUUCUCCACCGUUGUAGGCAGUGAUGGAGAAGGAAAAAAAUGGGUGAGUAGGAUUUAACACCCAGCCAGAACUGAACUGUACAACACCCGACUGCAGAAGGGUCGGUUCUAUGCCCUUUAUGCGCAGUAGGCACCGCUGCUGCCUGUCCCCAGCAUGGCACGAGUUGGGGACCAUGAGUGGUGAGGAGCUCUCGUGGUGCCUCUCCCUGAGCUGCAGGCACAAAGGUUGGAUUUCUUCCCUAUGGCUGCGUGAAGAGCUGCUGACUGCUCCACCAGGAACUGAGGCAAUAAUCCCAGCUUGUCGUUCUCCUUCUCAUGGGAGACUUCUUGUGCAAAAGAAGCAUCAGUAGAAUGAAUCAAACGCUGCGGUAGUGGCCCCAUUCCCACGUGCUCUGUGUGCUCUUCCUCUCGACUCACCGGUGAGGAGGCGGUAUCAUGGGGAGGCUGUUCUGAAAAUGCUUUUAAUUGAUUUAGUUCAUAGCUGUGUUGGAGCAGGAAGGUGUUCCUUCCUUGUGCCCGGGAAUGGCAGAAUGUCCUCCAGCUGCCCCCAGAGAUGCAGCGCUGUGCCCGGGUAGCACUGCCUUGCUGCUGGCCAUCCGUGCCAAGCCUGGGAAUGAAAGCUUUGGCAACAGCCUGGACCAAGCUCUGGUAUCUUCCUUAUCGAGAAGCAUGCUGAUUACUGCAGACAAAUUGGAGAUGAACUUGCCUCUAGAGCCCAACGUGUUUGUGAAAUGAAUUGCAGUUACAUGGGGAUUUAUUAUUUCUGCAAAAGAGGCUUUCUUAUCAUGAUUUUUCCUUCCAUCUUGGACUCAUUGCUACCAGACCAGGAACCUUCAAACAGAUGUGUUUGGAGCCUUGAUGUGGGCUCACAGUGGCUGGGAAUCUUCUUGUUAUUCCUACAAAAAACAGACUCCAGCUGGAGGGGAAGAAGAGCCUCCAGCAUUAGAGAUGACCUAAACAGCACAUGUUGCAAAUGAGAUGGGAAGUGGAGAACUGCUUGAAACAUCUCUGGCCCUUUCAGCAGAACUGUUUUCCCUUUGCCUUCUCAAGGCUGAGCUGCAGACAUUGCAAGAAUGACCCCAGCAGACUGCUGCUGUUUCUGUUUUGCAUGUUCACAAGGCAGCUUCUGAAAUAAGUUUGCACACUGUUGAUCUUGCACUGGACAGCCUCACAUCAGGUGGCAGGGAAGCCCCUGCUCAUGCUGCCCUGACCCUGCUGCUCUUACUUCCCAUGCUGAUGCAUCAGUGCAUGAUGUGGCUGGAAAUGAGGUGGUGCAGGGUGGUCUCCUUGGGUUUUGCAGCUGAAAUAGGUUACUGAGCUCCUGAAGGCAUCCACCAGGAUUGCUAUGGCCUGGAACAGCACUAGGAAAGAUGCUCUGCUUCAAGCUGGGGUUGUGCUGGUGGUGGGAGCUGGGGAUUUCAAAUCUUCCUACAGUUGGAUAUUUCAACCAAUGGCAUAAAUAAUGGAAAGCCUUCCAAAAGAAUGCCAUCCUAAGGGCUGUUCCCCUAAGAAGAAAUGCAGGUCAGGAAAUACAUUGGCCAUAUGAGUUUGUGAGUCCUUUCAAUUGUGAACAGUGCACUAAUCAAGAUUUGGCUAAUGGGUAUGCUGGGAUAUGCACACAGAUAUGCUCUUCUUUUGAGUCUUUCUCUUUACCUUUCAACCCCUGAAAUCAUCCAAGCUGCUAACACUCUGAGGAGGAUGAUGCAGCAAAAAUAAUAGUUUUAGCAAGAAGCAGAAAAAUGAGAUUAGCAUCUGUUUUUCUGGGAAAAAUAUCAACUUUUCCUGCUUAGAAAAUGAAUGGGUUGGAAACCAGCUUGUAAAACUCAAAGCCUGAUUCAGGCACUGAUUUGUCACGGGGCUGUCACCUGCAGUCACUGUUAGAGAGGAGCCCUCAAUGUUCUGUCCAAAAGGAACGAUUGCUGUCUGAGUUAUUGAUGGAUUCGUAUGUGGGGAAGAGCAAAUCCUGGUCAAGCUGGAGGACUUUUGCACACAUUCAGCAGCGGGUGAGUAAAGUUAGUGGAAUACAGAACCAUCCCUGCUCGCUGCAGAGCAGCCCCCAAGGAGCACAGUGAUAAAUGAAUUGCAGAAAGCUUGGAGCUUCAACUCGGCCAGGGGAAAUAACGCUGUGUCUAUCUGAUCUCUGCAAACCUGGCUUUCCGCUUAUGUGCCUGAUGAUAAAUCAGCAGUAAAUGUGCUUAGGUUGGCACGCCAAGUUUUUCCCUGGAUGCUGUUCUGUAGGCACGCACUUUCUUCACCACAAGAGUCCAGAUCUGGUGCAGAAACCACAAGCGUGGUACAGGCAGGCGGCAUCCCAUCCCAACACCAUUGCAUUGCCCUUGGCCUGCCAGCCAGAGCCAGCCCAGCACAGCCAUGGGAGAAGGAUGGCAGGCACUCCAGGAGGACCUCUUCAAACUGCAGAGAAGGUCUGAUUUUGAAACUGGGGCAAAAGUUGAAAUAGGAUUUAAUUUUAUCUCAAUUGAUUCAUCUGUCCCUAAUUAGAAAUAGCUUCCUAAUGCAUGACGUAAGGAUACGAGGAGGGUUGUUUUUUUUUUAAUGAAUGACUCUUGGCUGAGAUGAAAAUAUUGCUGUUCUCAGAUAGUUCUUUUUAUAUGCCAAUAGAGAUUUGUGCAGUCUAAGAUGAAAAAUACAUGAGAUCCUGCAGUCACACACGCUGCAGACUAAACUCUUACAGAUUAUAGAUCCUGUCUCAUUCCCAUUUUGUACAUCCCAUUUUAGUAUCUGCAUUUGCUUUUACUGAGAGAGGAGCCUCAGUCUCCCAGAAUUGCAGUGUGUGAUGCUGUGCAGGGAUGGAGCAAAAACUGAUCCUUACACCCAAGGCAGUUUCUCACGGGAACAGUGUGAAAUUGCCCAUUUUUCUAUUUUCAGGAUGAAAGUUGUGCCUGCUUUGCCUUAUUUUCUCUUUCUGUCCUCUUCCCCGUUUCUUCUCUCCUUCCUGCCCGUGGGUCAAGGGCUGGAAGUAAAGCUGAAGCCGCGUGGCAGGAUGCAGGAGGCGGAGCAGUGCAUUGAGUUGCAUGAUGCCAGGCAGCAGGAGGUGUGGGCUGCCCACUACCUGUUCCUGGACAGCAUGGCCAGGAGAUGGAGCCUCGUGAGACAUUCCGUGGAAGGUGGCAAGCAUUGGAUGAGUAACAUUUCCCCAUAGUGCAUUAAUCAACGCCUGCUUGGCCAAGCAGCAGUCAGUGUGAGAGGAGGACGAGUUGGGCUCCCAGGCACACGGGGAACUGCUGAGACAAAGAUUGCACACAGCAGCACCACAGUGACAAAGCUGCCUUGGUUCAGCACCCAGGGG
Molecule: long non-coding RNA, 8239 nt
Filed under: Gallus gallus (chicken)
Lineage: Eukaryota; Metazoa; Chordata; Aves; Galliformes; Phasianidae
Source: RNAcentral